ACGGGGAGCAGCAGGCGCGAAACCUUUACACUGCACGACAGUGCGAUAGGGGGACUCCGAGUGCGAGGGCAUACAGUCUUCGCUUUUCUGUACCGUAAGGUGGUACAGGAACAAGUGCUGGGCAAGACCGGUGCCAGCCGCCGCGGUAAUACCGGCAGCACGAGUGAUGGCCGCUCUUAUUGGGCCUAAAGCGUCCGUAGCCGGCCAGUCAAGUCCGUCGGGAAAUCUACCCGCUUAACGGGUAGGCGUCUGGCGGAAACUGACUGGCUUGGGGCCGGGAGACCCGAGGGGUACGUCCGGGGUAGGAGUGAAAUCCUGUAAUCCUGGACGGACCACCGGUGGCGAAAGCGCCUCGGGAAAACGGACCCGACGGUGAGGGACGAAAGCUAGGGUCUCGAACCGGAUUAGAUACCCGGGUAGUCCUGGCCGUAAACGAUGUCCGCUAGGUGUGACGCAGGCUACGAGCCUGCGCUGUGCCGUAGGGAAGCCGUGAAGCGGACCGCCUGGGAAGUACGUCCGCAAGGAUGAAACUUAAAGGAAUUGGCGGGGGAGCAC
RNAcentral lists this ribosomal RNA (555 nucleotides) under uncultured archaeon. RNAcentral's name for it is "bacterial SSU rRNA". It matches the Rfam family "Archaeal small subunit ribosomal RNA", at positions 325 to 879 of the family's 1478-position model. The record is from RNAcentral.